AAAAAGGGCUUCUGUCGUGAGUGGCACACGCAGGGUAACUCGAUUGCUCUGCGUGCGGAAUCGACAUCAAGAGAUUUCGGAAGCAUAAUUUUUUGGUAGUUGGGCAGCUGGUGAUCAAAAAAAAAAAAAAAAAAAAAGUGACCGA
Molecule: small nuclear RNA, 145 nt
Organism: Grammomys surdaster
Lineage: Eukaryota; Metazoa; Chordata; Mammalia; Rodentia; Muridae
Product: U11 spliceosomal RNA
Exons: 1
Source: RefSeq, a predicted model, not a curated record